AGGCCACUGCUAUGGGGGUCCGACUAAGCCAUGCGAGUCAUGGGGCGCCUUGCGCGCACCGGCGGACGGCUCAGUAACACGUCGGUAACCUACCCUCGGGAGGGGGAUAACCCCGGGAAACUGGGGCUAAUCCCCCAUAGGUCUGAGGUACUGGAAGGUCCUCAGACCGAAAGGGGCUCUGCCCGCCCGAGGAUGGGCCGGCGGCCGAUUAGGUAGUUGGUGGGGUAACGGCCCACCAAGCCGAAGAUCGGUACGGGCCAUGAGAGUGGGAGCCCGGAGAUGGACACUGAGACACGGGUCCAGGCCCUACGGGGCGCAGCAGGCGCGAAACCUCCGCAAUGCUCGAAAGAGCGACGGGGGGACCCCCAGUGCCGUGGCAACGCCACGGCUUUUCCGGAGUGUAAAGAGCUCCGGGAAUAAGGGCUGGGCAAGGCCGGUGGCAGCCGCCGCGGUAAUACCGGCGGCC
Molecule: ribosomal RNA, 466 nt
Filed under: uncultured archaeon
Lineage: Archaea
Description: bacterial SSU rRNA
Rfam family: Archaeal small subunit ribosomal RNA
Source: RNAcentral